RNAcentral lists this ribosomal RNA (519 nucleotides) under Triticum aestivum (bread wheat). Its description in RNAcentral is "partial small subunit ribosomal RNA". The record is from RNAcentral. Lineage: Eukaryota; Viridiplantae; Streptophyta; Magnoliopsida; Poales; Poaceae.
AUGAGGCCAUCACAAGCUCUCUCGCUUCUCGUUGUUGUCCUCCUCCUCGUCUCGUCCAGUGCUUCCAUCCUAGAAGACACGUGCAAGCGCUUCGACGGCGCUGACAUCUAUGAUAUCUGCAUCAAGUUCUUCAAGGCCAACAAGGACAGCGCCACCACAGACAAGCGUGGCCUUGCUGUCAUUGCCACUAAGAUUGCCAGUGCGACAGCUGUGGACACCCGCAAGCACAUUGCCAUCCUGAAGGCCGAGGAAAAGGACCAGAUGAUCCAACAGGUCCUCGCCUACUGUGACAAUAUGUACUCCAGAGCUAUGGGCUUGUUUGACAAAGCUGCCAGGGGCAUCUUGUCAGGCAGGUUGGGCGACGCGGUGACGAGCCUCAGCUCCGCGUUGGAUAUUCCCAAAUAUUGCGAUGACGAGUUCCUCCAGGCAGGCGUGAAGUCACCGUUCGAUGCUGAGAACAGCGAGUUCGAGACGCAAUGUGCCAUAACUCUGGGUGUAACGAAGAUGCUGACCUUGUAG